GCGAGACUCUGUGGGGGUAGGACCCUCUGAGCCACGUGCCGGAUAUAAUCUCGUGGUGCGCCGUUUUUUUAAGCCGUUCGGAAAAGCACAGUAUUCGGGUGGGAGUGACCCGAUUUUCCAGGUGCGUCUGUCACCCCUUUCUUUCACUCAGAAAGGGAACUCCCUGACCCCUUGCGCUUCCCAAGUGAGGCAAUGCCUCGCCCUGCUUCGGCUCGCGCACGGUGCGCGCACCCACUGACCUUCGCCCACUGUCUGCCACUCCCAAGUGAGAUGAACCCGGUACCUCAGAUGGAAAUGCAGAAAUCACCUGUCUUCUGCGUCGCUCACGCUGGGAGCUGUAGACUGGAGCUGUUCCUAUUCGGCCAUCUUGGCUCCUCUCAGAUGAUAAAAUUCAGGCCAAGAGAAGCAAAGACAGCAAAGACUGACAUAAAAAAGAAACAACAAAAACAACUCUUGUUAAUGAUGUAGAAUUAAUCUGAAUUCUCCAAAAACCUGCCUCUUUUGGAGGGAUCAUUGAAGUAGCAGUGGCAACGAUGUUAUGAAAGUUCCAUGGACGUCAGAGAUCCAGGAUCUUCUUGUUUCCUCACCACCAUCAUCAACUUCUCUGUCUUUUUUGCAUCCCACUGCUUGUAUUCAAUUUGAAAACGGUAUGUAAAGUUUGUCAAAUUCAUGUGUUUUCAGCAUGCUACUUUGUCAUCGUUUUUCAGGUUAAAAAGCCACCACAUCUACGACUGCAGUUUUCCCAGCAGAAAACAGGCUGUAUCUACAUCGCUUUCAGCUGUAACCCACUGUUAUAGUAGAUACUCAAUGGCAUGAUAGUAAGGUGUGAGGAAGAAAAAAAGUUCUACAAUGGCUUGCAUUCUUGGAAGGUAAAGGGAUAAGAAGCUGUGAAGGUUACGUAAUGGAGAUGAAAGGCAAGCUACAGGAAGUGAAAUUGGCAAUUCUUCUUGGUCCCUGUUUGGGAAAAUGUGAAUCUCAUCCUCUCAGUUUCUAGUUUGACAGACUAUAAGAGUUAGAGACGAAUGCUGAAAGACCAUGAAAAAUCUCAGAGACAAGUCAUUUCUGGGACAAUAAAUAGCGGAAGACAGCAUUUAACAAUGAAUUAAGGGAAAUUCCAUUCUUUCCUGUAUUUCAGCACUGCGGAAGUCUACGAAGCAGUUAAUGUUAAGAAAUACCAUUGACUAAAAAAAAAAAAAUGAUUUUCUGCAUUGGAUGUUAAAAGAUAUGAAGCAAGAAAUUGACCAUUCAGUGGAACAAUGUGAAUCCUAAAUUAUCUAAAUAAAAACAAGAGGAUCAGUUAAUUCAGAAAAAAGAAUUGUAUAAAUUCUGGAACUCGGUAGAUAUAUUCUCCUUAACAAAUUCUGGCAAAGAAUUCUCCCAAUCACUUAUUCAUUAGGGAUUGAGAAUUGACACUAGAAACAGAUAACUUGUGCUUAAUAUUGUGCUUAAGCUUUAAGCAUAGAAAAUUUCCUUGAUGCAAGGGGGUUACUGUGUCACCUCAAGUUAAAAGGCAAUUUAGGAAGUGAUAUGUAACUAGCAGUUUGAAAGUAUUCUAAAUAUUACUUGCUAACAAAAUUCACUCUCUACAGAAGGGACAUACCUAACAAAGAAUACAUCUUGCAGAUUGCUACAUAAAGAGUAAGUACAUUGACAAAUAUUAUGUACUUAAAAUAUAUACAGCUCUGUACUUAGCAUGCCACAUAGAAUUCCUUAAUAUUCCUCUUAACAGCUGUACAAGUUAACUUGACUUUUAUACGCAUUAUACACAUGAAAAAAAUGAGAUGAGAAAGGCCAAAUAAAAUGAAUGAAUGAAUGAAUGAGUUUUUAAAAUUUAUUUUGACAUGAGAGCCAAUCCUAUCAGCCUUGCUGAUUUCUUCAAAAUACUUGCAAAUAAGUUGCUAUAAUAUAAAAACAUCUUCUUAUUGUUUCUCUCUCCUUAAGGAUUUCUCUGAGACAUUUCUAAUAUUUAAAUCUUUUUUCCCAUAGGUUGUCUUUCACGGUACUUUGUAUACACUACUUUGGGUUCAUAUGCCUCAAGUGAAAAAUUGGUCUAAUAACAUUAAUACCUCUGUCACAACCCCAUUGCACAUGAUCAGUUCUAAUAAUGGGUUUUAAAGUAAUUUUGUUUUAUUUUAAAUUACUAUUCAGAUAUCAGUCACUAUGACAUCAGACUUUUUACUCUCUGUGAUAGUUAUAUAUCAACUUAGCUGGAGUAUAGUAUCAAGUUAUUCAAUAAAACACUAAUCUAGGUGUCACUGUGAAGGGAUUUUGUAGAUAUGAUUAACAUCUACAUUUAGUUGACACUAAGUAAAGGAGAUUUUCCUUGAUAAUGUGGUCAAGCCUCAUCCAAUCAAUUGAAAGGCCUGAGCUUUUCUAGAGGAAGAAGUAAUUUUAUCUCAGGACUCCAGCAUUAGCUACUGCUGGACAAUCCCAGCAUCCCAACCUGCCCAACAGAUUUUAGACUAGACUUACCACCUCAUAUGAGCACAUAGCAGAUUCCCAGAAAUCAAUCUAUCUACCUAUGUAUCUAUCAAUCUAUCAUCUCUCUCCUACUGCUUCUGUUUCUGUAGAUGACACUGACAGAUGUGAAUAUUCACAUAAAAGCUGUCAAUAUGCAUGUUCCUUCCUACUACUUGUACCAAUUAAGCAAAGAGUGUAACGGAUGCAUAUUUUUCUAAAGAAUUUCUGUAUGUGUUCUCCGAUUAUUGGUCAGAAAUAAAAAUAUGUUUAUAAUGCAAAAUUCAUAAAAUGUGUAUAAAUGAUAAUGUAUAUGCCUAUAUAAGUGUGUGUUUUUCUGUGUAUACAUAUAUGUAUAUAUGAGUGUGUGUGUAUGUGUGUGCAUUUUUUUGUAACUGAUACUGUGGCCUUUUAUAUCUACCAAAAUCCAGGACUAGUUUAGAAAAGAAAUUACAGCAGCAUUCUAAAAUUUACUUGUUUGAUAUAAAUAUAUUUUUGUAACUUUUUUUGCCUGACAUUUGUGCUGUAAAUCAAAAGUACUUUUGUGAAAGCAAUUUUUUUAAACAAUCUUCUCUGAAAUUGUGUAGGAGGAAGUGAAUCGCUACCACUCAAUCCUGACAUUAAUUCAACAGACACAUAUUUUGAUUUCUGAAGAAUUAUGGAAACAUUCUUUCAGAAGAGAACAAUGAAAGAUAGCAUUCUGUGUUUAGCACAUUUCCCCUUUCCAAGUGGCAGUGGAGCGUUGUAACAGCAAAGUAAAUUGCUUCUUAUUUCUAUGUGCUUUUUAAAACUGUGACACUGACUGAGCUGAACCACCAAGACCACAUCUGUACACAGCUAAAUAAAAGGUUUUACAUGAUGGCAAAACUGGGCAGAAUUAAUUUGUCCUUGGAUGUACUGAUGAUUGCAAUGCUUACACCACUGCUUUAUACACAGUAGGGUAACACUCAGAGUACUAUCAUGAAAUUCAGUUUUUAAUUUAAAAGAUUUUGAAAAAAGGACUCAUUACACAGGUAUGGCCAAGAUGAAGAGACACAGAAACGUCUGAUUGUAUACUGUAGCAUUAGUGACAGAUUGCCUGAGCAAGAAGUGAGAAAAAUAUUACUGAAGCCUCAGAGAGUUUGAAGCUUUAGAAAUAAAGCUGCCUAGCAAGAAUUGCAACCAUAGAAUAUAGUCAUUGCCCCAGAUUGAAGCAAGGCAAGGACAGGGGUUUGUUAGGAGUGAUGAAUACCUUGAUCUUUCUCUGUUCCAGCCAGCCCUCUAAUUUUCUGUGAUACUACUGGCCAAACCCAAUCAGAGGCUAAAAUUCAAGUGAUAUUGGGUGAUACGUGUGUAGGGCCAAAACUCCUUGAAAACAGAACAGGGAAGGGCUUGGAACAAUGGAGUUUCAAGGAGAGUAGCAAAUUAACAUAGUAGACAUACAAUCUAUAAGUUCGAGUUGAGGGCAGAAAUCAGUCUAGGCUGUUCAAUGGUAUGAAGUCAGGAACAAGGAUCAUACUUCUGAGCCAUAUGGAGGUAAGAUGCUAGAGGGAGAUGGUAAGUAAGCUACUAUUUUUUCCACUUAUGUAAGUAGAAA
RNAcentral lists this long non-coding RNA (4033 nucleotides) under Homo sapiens (human). RNAcentral describes it as "HSALNT0110159". The record is from RNAcentral. Lineage: Eukaryota; Metazoa; Chordata; Mammalia; Primates; Hominidae.